CUGCCGUGUACUGUCAGCGUGAAACACGGGCUCUGGCACCGGACAGUCUGGGUUCAAAUCCUGCCCCUCCGUGUGUGAGCCUUGCGACGUUGGGUAACUUACUCAAACGACCCUGUGCUUCGUCUCCCGGUCUGCAAUCGGGGAUGCUUAACUGUGCCCUUCUCACAGGGCGCUUGAGAUUAAAUUUAUGCAAACUUCGAAACACAACAGCUUUCAGUAAACGUGCACUGCGAUUUAUGAAAGAAAUAAUACCAUCUGUGUAGGCGGGGUUGUUGGAAUUAAAUAGGGUAUGAAAUGCUUCUACUGAUAUUCUCAUUAUACUUUUACUCCAGGUCAAAAUCCAAAGUUGAACUUCCCAAGAGAGGAAAUAAAAGUUCAGCUUAGAAGCAUACUGUGCUAGACCUUUAUCUUUGAAGUUUAUAAAAAGUUAGAAGUGUGUGAGCACGUGUGUAUAUUUGGUUUUCCUUAGACUUUAGGGACCAUAGCAAAAAGGACUCUUUAAAAUUCCUUGACUGUUUUAUUUGUGAAUAGAACAAUUAGCUAAAUUCAGAUUAUCUGGAAUAAUGCUUAUCAAAUUUUAGAGUAUCUACAAAUCACUUGGGAUCUUCGUAAAAUACAGAGUCUAAUUCAAAAGGUCAGAAUGGAGGCCGGGAAUCUGCAUUUUCCGCGAGCUCCCAGCGCUGCUGUCGCUGGUUCCAGAGUGCGCUCAGCAUCAGCGCCCCCUGCAGCCCUGAAUACAGAUGUGGUCCUUCAGCUGUGCGUGUGGUGCCAAACAGGUCGUGCUCCCCGCCCCCCCAGCCUCCACGGACAGCAGCAUGGAACCCCUGAUGCUGUGCUCCCUGCGGGAAGACGAUGCCAGCACGAACCACACGGAACUUCAGCCCGGUCCCUCCGGGGCUCUGACCCCAAUGACCACACAGCCCCUUCCCUUCUCAGCUCCUCACAGCAGCAAAGGAACGCUCAGAGAGAACAACCACGAGAGGCCAGAGGGGUAAAGGAGAGCAAAGGGAGGAGAGGCCUCCCAGUGGGGGUGGGGAU
This 1038-nucleotide long non-coding RNA is filed under the name Ailuropoda melanoleuca (giant panda). RNAcentral describes it as "lncRNA (ENSAMEG00000025496.1)". The record is from RNAcentral. Lineage: Eukaryota; Metazoa; Chordata; Mammalia; Carnivora; Ursidae.